Molecule: ribosomal RNA, 496 nt
Filed under: uncultured bacterium
Lineage: Bacteria
Description: partial 16S ribosomal RNA
Rfam family: Bacterial small subunit ribosomal RNA
Source: RNAcentral
GCGAACGCUGGCGGCGUGCCUAAUACAUGCAAGUUGAGCGAUGAAGAUUGGUGCUUGCACCAAUUUGAAGAGCAGCGAACGGGCGAGUAACGCGUGGGGAAUCUGCCUUUGAGCGGGGGACAACAUUUGGAAACGAAUGCUAAUACCGCAUAACAACUUUAAACAUAAGUUUUAAGUUUGAAAGAUGCAAUUGCAUCACUCAAAGAUGAUCCCGCGUUGUAUUAGCUAGUUGGUGAGGUAAAGGCUCACCAAGGCGAUGAUACAUAGCCGACCUGAGAGGGUGAUCGGCCACAUUGGGACUGAGACACGGCCCAAACUCCUACGGGAGGCAGCAGUAGGGAAUCUUCGGCAAUGGACGAAAGUCUGACCGAGCAACGCCGCGUGAGUGAAGAAGGUUUUCGGAUCGUAAAACUCUGUUGGUAGAGAAGAACGUUGGUGAGAGUGGAAAGCUCAUCAAGUGACGGUAACUACCCAGAAAGGGACGGCUAACUACGUG